Molecule: long non-coding RNA, 1698 nt
Filed under: Lactuca sativa (garden lettuce)
Lineage: Eukaryota; Viridiplantae; Streptophyta; Magnoliopsida; Asterales; Asteraceae
Description: long non-coding RNA (LSAT_LNC004156)
Source: RNAcentral
AAUCUCUCCCAAAUCUCUCUUUGUAUGAGAAAUCUCUCCAAGAAUGUCAAAUCUCUCCCAAAUCUCUCUAAGUAUGUGAAAUCUCUCCCAAAUCUCUUUUUGUAUGAGAAAUCUCUCCAAGAAUGUCAAAUCUCUCCCAAAACUCUCUAAGAAUGUGAAAUCUCUCCCAAAUAUCUCUUUGUAUGUGAAAUCUCUCCAAGAAUGUCAAAUCUCUCCCAAAUCUCUCUAAGUAUGUGAAAUCUCCCCAAAUCUCUCUUUGUAUGAGAAAUCUCUCCAUUUCUACAUUUGGUAAGAAUAAUCCCUUAUCUUUAUGAUUAUUUCACUUAUUUCUACUCAAAUCAUGGAUAUCUUACACAAACUCUCUCAUAAUUGUGUUAGAUCUUCGAAUCUUCAAGUGAUUCUUCAAGUGUUCUUGGGUUGAACACUUCUCUUCUUCAACACUUACCUACUGAAAUCACUCAAGGUGAGUUCAUACCCCUACAUUUUCAUGUUUUCUCAAGUUUUUAGGGGGGGAAUACAAGUUAAAACACCAAGAACAUAACUAAACUUUUCUAACAGCCUUCAUCAGAAAAGUUCAACUCCAUUCACGGACUGUUUUGGACAACUUAAACAUUUUAGUUUUCAAAACUGUUUUAGGUGCAUGUAGUUCCACUUCUUAGCUUUAAAAUGACUACUUGCACAUCUCCAUACGAUUUUUCUACAAUUUAUGGUGAAUUUUACAAAACUGCCUAUCAUUUCAAACACCAAUCCGGACCAGUCUGUGAUUAUGGACCUUUUCACCCAAGUUAGAGAUCAUUAAAAAUCAUGAUAAAAAUUAUGAGUAAACUAGACACAUCUUGGGAACUCUCAGAAGUUACGGAUUUAGUUUUCGACUUCGUAGNAACCUCGGCCUAGGACCGAGAGGCCUCGCUGGGAAGCCUUUUUCUCCGGGUUUUCGAUUAAAUUUGCGUUUUAAGCCCGUUUUUCAUUGUUUUAGCACGGGAUUUUCACCCAAAACUUUAUUUUAACAUAUAAGGCCCCUAAACUAUUAAUUAAUCACGUUUUUAAGGAUAAAACCUUAUCCAAAGGGGAGUAGGUGAAGUACAAAGAUGGAGUGUUGACUUUCCUUUAUUUUAUGACACAAGCAACCUCCAUCACCCACUCCAUGUCACUAUUCCCCAUCAGCCCCUACCUAGUCAUUUCAUUGUACUUUUCCCACCUUUUUCCAACCCCACAAUUGGUCAAAGGCUAGAAAAGCCUCCUCUCUCCUCAUUUCUCUCAUUUUCUCUCUUUUCACCAAAAAGAGCAAACUCUUUUCUCUCUCAUUUUCCCUCUCUAGAACUCGAGAUUUGAGGGCUGAUCUUGGGAUUUUCCUCCACAUUUGGUAAGAAUAAUCCCUUAUAUUUAUGAUUAUUUCACUUAUUUCUACUCAAAUCAUGGAUAUCUUACACAAACUCUCUCAUAAUUGUGUUAGAUCUUCGAAUCUUCAAGUGAUUCUUCAAGUGUUCUUGGGUUGAACACUUCUCUUCUUCAACACUUACCUACUGAAAUCACUCAAGGUGAGUUCAUACCCCCACAUUUUCAUGUUUUCUCAAGUUUUUAGGGGGGGAAUACAAGUUAAAACACCAAGAACAUAACUAAACUUUUCUAACAGCCUUCAUCAGAAAAGUUCAACUCCAUUCACGGACUGUUUUGGACAACUUAAACAUUUUAGUUUUC